Homo sapiens (human) is the source of this 2181-nucleotide long non-coding RNA. Lineage: Eukaryota; Metazoa; Chordata; Mammalia; Primates; Hominidae. The record is from Ensembl.
UAUCCUGGACUGUGUCUGAGAGUCUGCUCCUAAAUAAGGCUCAUUUCUUUUAAAACCAUGGAUUAAUUUCAUUAAGCAUGCAAGAGUUCUUUAGAAACUUUCUUGUGUGGGCUGUAGCUCAUUUUCAUUACUGUGUUUUUCUCCCCCCGACCACUGCAUCACUUAGGACAAUUCAUUAGAAAAUCCAACAGAAUUUAUUUGAAGUAACCAAUUAAUCCUUUGAGAUGCAACAAUUAAUAUGCAAAUUGUAUCACAUUAAGAAUCUCAGGAGGAAUGAAUUAAAUUGAAAAAUACAACCCUUCAGAAAUUAAAAAAGAUAUUGUUUUUCCAUCUACAGAUUUUCAGACUUCAUUUGAUUUUUCUUCUAUGGUUCAUUUUAUUAUCUCCUUGCCUAGAAGUACCAAAACAAAUGACCAUGCCUGUCUUAAAUGCAUUACAUCAGGAUACUAAUAGAAGGAUAUUAAACAUGAUAGCCAUAUUGACAAAAGACCUGAUGAGGCAAAUAACCAUAUACAUAAAUAUGAAUUUGUAACAGAAUAAUUACAUCAAAAAGUAAACAAUUUUCAUUGCCAUUUCCUUCUUAGAAAUGUUCACAGGGAAAUAAAGGACUAAGGUCAUUUUGAGAACAUUACUAAACAGACAACCUCUUUACUCAUGCAAGUAAAUUCUGUGUUACAGUUAGGUUUUAAAUGGGUUUCUCUGAUGACUGCAUAAUGUCAGGGAGAUAUGAAUAUUGCCAAUAAAACAACUUUUAAAUAGUGUCUAAGACUCACUGAGUGCUUUCUAUAUACAAUUUGCUAUUCUAGGCCCAUAGCAUGUCAUCUGAGCCUCACAAUGGCUCUGUGAAAUUGGGACUGUCAUUGCAAUCUUGUAACUGCCCAAUGGGCUCUCCUUGCCCGCUGUCUAGGCAGAGCCAAUAUAUCAACGCAGGGGAAUUGCAAUAGAGAAAGAAUAAUUCAUGCAAAGCCCAGCUGUGUGGAAGACUGGAGUUUUAUUAUUACUCAAAUCAGUCUCCCUGAAAUCUUGGGGAUUGGGAUUUUAAAGGAUAAUUUGGUGGGUAGGGGGUAGGAAAGUGGGGAGUGCUGAUUAACCAAUCAGAGAUGAAAUCAUAGGGAGUUAAAGCUGUCCUCUUGUGCUGAGUCAGUUCCUGGGUGGGGUCCACAAGACCAGGGGAGCCAGUUUAUCAACCUGGAUGGUGCCAGUUGAUUCAAUGAGUGCAGGGUCUGCAAAAUAUCUCAAGCACUGAUCUUAGGUUUUAUAAUAGUGAAGUUAUCCUGAAGAGCAAUUUGGGAGGCUUAGAAUCUUACAGCUUCCAGCUGCAUGAUUCCUAAACCAUAAUUUCUAAUUUGUAGCGAAUUUGUUAGACCUGUAAAGGCAGUCUAGUCCCCCAAGCAGGAAGGGGGUUCGUUUUGGGAAAGGGCUGUUAUCUUUGUUUCACAGUUAAACUAUAAACUAAGUCCCUCCCGUAGUUAGUUUGGCCUUCACCCAGAAAUGAGUAAGGACAGCUUGGAGGUUAUAGAAGCAAGAUGGAAUCAGUUAGGUCAGAUCUCUUUUACGAUCAUAAUUUUCUCAGUUAUAAUUUUUGUAAGGUUUGUUUCAAUCUUACAGGACAGGAACCAGAGGGUAAAGUGCUUUACCUGAGGCUGCCAGAAAGCUGGGCCAGGAUCUCAGCCCAAGCAUUUCAUGCUAGGGAUCAUGUUUCUCACCAUUGUGCCAUCUCUGAGAAAGGAAUUCCAGAAGAAUGGAAUACAGAAAAGCAAAGGGAGAAAAUUACCAAGGAAAUAAUAGAAGACAGUUUCUCAAGACUCAAGAAUGACAUAGAUUUUUAAUUUGAAAGAGGACCAUUGAGAGCCAUGUGGAAUGAAGGGAGACAUCUAGACACAGCAACAAGGGUAAGAGAAGUGACAAAAUACCUGAUGAAGGAAAGUAAAACAUAACUUAAAACAAACAAAAAGUACCUAAUCUUUCUUACUAGCAGCAGCAGUCCUCCAGGUUCUGAAGAAUUAUUUGAAAUUUAAAAUGUGAUGGCCUGUGAAAUAAAUCAGGUAUCACAAAUUAAUAAACAGGUGUCCUUUUCAGACACACAGGUAAGUACUCAGAAAGUUUAUGUCCUGGAGACUUUGCUGAGAAUGUUCCCCAGAAAAACCAAACAAAUAACUAAAAAAAAAAAAAAAAAAAAAG